Molecule: long non-coding RNA, 1156 nt
Filed under: Bos grunniens (domestic yak)
Lineage: Eukaryota; Metazoa; Chordata; Mammalia; Artiodactyla; Bovidae
Description: lncRNA (ENSBGRG00000024035.1)
Source: RNAcentral
GACCACCUCUGCACCCGUGCCCUCAACUCCCAGCCUUUCAUAGCCUCUGGCUCCAGAAAGCCUUGGGUCAAAGUCUGGAAUGUAAACGUGAGCCGCAGCCCAGGCCUCACUACCUGGCCAUAUUCCAUGAGCCUGGAGACUCAGGCAGAGGAGACCUGGUGGCUAGAAAACCCCAGUGCUAGAGGGAAUACUCACCCAGCGAGGACUCAUCACUCACACGCCCACAGGGACUAGGACAGUGGCUUAGGGGGUGGCAUGCAGUCUCUUUCAUACUGGAGAGCGUGUGCCUAAUCAGCUCAAAGGAAGUGUUUUUAUAUACCCCCCUACUCAAAGCACUGGCCCUGAAAGGCAGGACUGAAGACUGGAGACUUUGUGAUCUGGAUUCCCAAUCACCAGUGUCUGCUCUGUAAUGUAUUAGGGGAUAGGGAGGCUUUUAUUUUUUUUUACAAACCAAUAAAAUCAGCCCAGCGUGGAAGAGAGCAGUGCCCAUCUGCUUUGCUUCUGUGAUGGAGGUGGGGUGAGAGUCCUGGGUCUGACCAGGGGGGAGGAACCCAGAACAGGCAAGAGAUGACCGUUGUUCUCUUUGCCUGGUGUUGUCCCCUUGCGGGAAGCUGCUCCCCAUCAUCAUCGGCCCCAGGUUUCCUACAGGAUUGGCCAUAUUGACUCUCCCCAGGUGGGGAUCACCUGACCCAGGCUGAGCCAAUCUCUGAUUUGUGCAAAGAAUUUGGAAUCAGAACCAAAAGACUUCAGCUGAGGCUGGCUGUCUUCGCAUCUAGAGGCCAGGAGCUAUUGACUGCUGGGCUUUCUGCUACUGGUUGGAAUGGUGGACAGAGCCAGGGGCUGCAAGGAAGAGGAAGGGACAGAGGAGAGCAGCAAGCCCUUGAGCUGUAGAAGCCUCAGGCCCUCACACCUGAACCCUCUCGACUCCAGCUCGGCUCUUUCCCUAUGGAUUUUAGUCACCUUGAGUCCCCAGCACCCAGCCUGCUCCUGGCCAAUCAUGCAGAACAGGUUGUGGAGUGAAUCAAUGAGGAAAGCAGAGGAACGGAACUUGUCCAAGGUCACUCUGAGGUCAGUAACAGAGCUGAGACCAGAGCCCGGGUCUCUACUCCCUGUGUGCAGGGCCCUGCCCACCUCACCAGGUGACACCUUGGCCUGA